This 494-nucleotide ribosomal RNA is filed under the name uncultured bacterium. RNAcentral's name for it is "partial 16S ribosomal RNA". It matches the Rfam family "Bacterial small subunit ribosomal RNA", at positions 28 to 507 of the family's 1533-position model. The record is from RNAcentral.
GACGAACGCUGGCGGCGUGCUUAACACAUGCAAGUCGAACGGUGAAGCGCCUUCCUUUUUGGUGGGUGUGGAUGAGUGGCGAACGGGUGAGUAACACGUGAGUAACCUGCCCCCUUCUUCUGGAUAACCGCAUGAAAGUGUGGCUAAUACGGGAUAUUCUGGGUCUGUCGCAUGAUGGGUCUGGGAAAGAUAUUGUUUCGGUGGGGGAUGGGCUCGCGGCCUAUCAGCUUGUUGGUGGGGUGAUGGCCUACCAAGGCGGUGACGGGUAGCCGGCCUGAGAGGGUCGACGGUCACACUGGGACUGAGACACGGCCCAGACUCCUACGGGAGGCAGCAGUGGGGAAUAUUGCACAAUGGGCGCAAGCCUGAUGCAGCGACGCCGCGUGAGGGAUGGAGGCCUUCGGGUUGUGAACCUCUUUCGCCAGUGAAGCAGGCCUGCCUCGUUUGUGGGUGGGUUGACGGUAGCUGGAUAAGAAGCGCCGGCUAACUACGUG